GACGGGGAAAGAUCUGUUCUGCUAUCGCUGUGGCGAGCCUGGGCAUGUCGCCAGGGACUGUGAGAGGACUGAGGAUGCGUGCUAUAACUGUGGUCGUGGAGGACACAUCUCCAGAGGCUGUAAGGAGCCCAAGAAGGAGAGGGAACAGGUGUGUUAGAGCUAUGGCGAGGCUGGUGUGUUAGAACUAGGGCGAGGCUGGUGUGUUGUAGUGUUAGAACUAGGGUGAGGCUGGUGUGUUGUAGUGUUAGAACUAGGGUGAGGCUGGUUUGUUGUAGUGUUAGAACUAGGGUGAGGCUGGUGUGUUGUAGUGUUAGUGUUAGAACUAGGGUGAGGCUGGUGUGUUAGAACUAGGGUGAGGCUGGUGUGUUAGAACUAGGGUGAGGCUGGUGUGUUAGAAUUAGGGUGAGGCUGGUGUGUUAGAACUAGGGUGAGGCUGGUGUGUUAGAACUAGGGUUAGGCUGGUGUGUUAGAACUAGGGUGAGGCUGGUGUGUUAGAACUAGGGUGAGGCUAGUGUGUUAGAACUAGGGUGAGGCUAGUGUGUUAGAACUAGGGUGAGGCUAGUGUGUUAGAACUAGGGUGAGGCUGGUGUGUUAGAACUAGGGUGAGGCUAGUAUGUUAGAACUAUGGCGAGGCUGGUGUGUUAGAACUAGGGUGAGGCUGGUGUGUUGUAGUGUUAGAACUAGGGUGAGGCUGGUAUGUUAGAACUAGGGUGAGGCUGGUGUGUUGUAGUGUUAGAACUAGGGUGAGGCUGGUGUGUUGUAGUGUUAGAACUAGGGUGAGGCUGGUGGGUUGUAGUGUUAGGACUAGGGCGAGGCUGGUGUGUUAGAACUAGGGUGUGGCCGGUGUGUUGUAGUGUUAGAACUAGGGUGAGGCUGGUGUGUUGUAGUGUUAGAACUAGGGUGAGGCUGGUGUGUUAGAACUAGGGUGUGGCCGGUGUGUUAGAACUAGGGUGAGGCUGGUGUGUUGUAGUGUUAGAACUAGGGUGAGGCCGGUGUGUUAGAACUAGGGUGAGGCUGGUGUGUUGUAGUGUUAGAACUAGGGUGAGGCUGGUGUGUUAGAACUAGGGUGUGGCCGGUGUGUUAGAACUAGGGUGAGGCUGGUGUGUUGUAGUGUUAGAACUAGGGUGAGGCCGGUGUGUUGUAGUGUUAGAACUAGGGUGAGGCUGGUGUGUUAGAACUAGGGUGUGGCCGGUGUGUUAGAACUAGGGUGAGGCUGGUGUGUUGUAGUGUUAGAACUAGGGUGAGGCUGGUGUGUUGUAGUGUUAGAACUAGGGUGAGGCCGGUGUGUUGUAGUGUUAGAACUAGGGUGAGGCCGGUGUGUUGUAGUGUUAGAACUAGGGUGAGGCUGGUGUGUUGUAGUGUUAGAACUAGGGUGAGGCCAGUGUGUUAGAACUAGGGUGAGGCUGGUGUGUUAGAUCUAGGGUGAGGCUAGUGUGUUAGAACUAGGGUGAGGCUAGUGUGUUAGAACUAGGGUGAGGCUGGUGUGUUAGAACUAGGGUGAGGCUGGUGUGUUAGAACUAGGGUGAGGCUGGUGUGUUAGAACUAGGGUGAGGCUAGUGUGUUAGAACUAGGGUGAGGCUAGUGUGUUAGAACUAGGGUGAGGCUAGUGUGUUAGAACUAGGGUGAGGCUGGUGUGUUAGAACUAGGGUGAGGCUAGUAUGUUAGAACUAUGGCGAGGCUGGUGUGUUAGAACUAGGGUGAGGCUGGUGUGUU
Molecule: non-coding RNA, 1713 nt
Organism: Salmo salar (Atlantic salmon)
Lineage: Eukaryota; Metazoa; Chordata; Actinopteri; Salmoniformes; Salmonidae
Source: RefSeq, a predicted model, not a curated record